ACUCUUUAGGAAUAGCAACCAUUAAGCCCUAGAUCUGGGCUUGAUUCUAGAUACCGCGUGUCCCCCUUCUAGGGAAAGGGGGCAUGCAUGAUGCCUUGGGCGGCAUGCAAAACCAAGGAGAGAGGCAGAGAGAUAGUGGAAUCAAAGGCGAGUCGACUCGGUCCCAGUAAGAGUCAACUCAAUUUUCAGACAAAAGCUGCAU
This 202-nucleotide long non-coding RNA is filed under the name Elaeis guineensis (African oil palm). RNAcentral describes it as "long non-coding RNA (EGUI_LNC070160)". Lineage: Eukaryota; Viridiplantae; Streptophyta; Magnoliopsida; Arecales; Arecaceae. The record is from RNAcentral.